GGAGUGCAGUGGUGCGAUCUGGGUUCAUUGCAACUUCUGCCUCCCAGGUUCAAGUGAUUCUCCUGCCUCAGCCUCCUGAGUAGAUGGGAUUGUAUGCAUCCACCACCAUGCCUGGCUAAUUUUUAUAUUUUUGUAGAGAUGGGGUUUUACCAUGUUGACCAGGAUGGCCUUGAUCUCUUGACCUCGUGAUCUCCCUGCCACGGCCUCCCUGAACUGCUGGAAUUACAGGCUUCCAAGUGAGAAGUUCAGGGCUUCACAAUUGAGAACCAGAAAGAAAAGGAGAAACUGGCCUUUGUUGAGUAUCAACUGUCAACAUUCUUGGAUAAGAAAGAUGCUAUUGGUGGGAUGCGGAAGUGAUGACUGAUUGAAAAGUGUUAAACAGACUAAUCAAGUGAUUCCUAGGCUGAGAUGGCUCCAGGGCCUUAGAUUCCUACAUAUACAAAGUGAGACAACUCAAUGUAAAUAACAUUCUGUUUUAUUUAUUUUUUAAAUAAACUCACCGAUCUCUGAAAUUUACCUUUUUUUUUCCUCUGUAUAUGUUUAUUUGCUUCCUUCACAUAAACUAUGUAUAUGUUUAUUUGCUUCCUUCACAUAAACUAUGUAAGGGUUUGUUCAAGAUGUUAGGUUCAGGAACUUCAUAUAUAUUUGUUGAAUGAAGAAAUGAAUGAUUGAAUGGUAAGUAGCUUACGUUAGAUCACGUAGUUAGUGCACAGUUGAGCCAGGUCCUAAACUGAGGUUUGCCUGCCUCUUCUUAGGAAAGUGAAGUCAUAGAAGGGGAGUACUAAGCAUAGUAGAAUUCAAGAUAGGAUGAUACCAAAUAGUAGAGCUUUUCCUAUUGCAUAGUUUGGCUUGGGCGAGAGUAGUCCACAGUCUAAAAUUGUAUUUCUCAAAGGAAAAGAUCCACCUCACUGGUAUCAGAAUCACUGGGAAGCUAUUAAAAGUAUGACUUAUUGGGAUCUGUCCCAUACCUACUGAAUUUGACUCUGGAGGUGCUACCAGAGGGGCUGAUUUUGUAAAUAAGGUCUCCCAAGGUUUCUCAUGGACUGUAAUUUUGAGACCCACAGGCUUGAAAGAAAUUUGCUCCUGACUGCACAACAUUUAUUCAGAUGUCUGAAGUUCCUUAGCCAUACGUCAUUCUCACAUAUUGGUUAAUUUGCCCUGGGUAGGUACUUAUUUCUCAGGUCAACUCACUCUUUUAGAGCAGAAAAGAGACAACACUCCCCUGGGUUAAGAAGCACAACCCUUCAUCUGCGGCACAGCCUCCUCCUUUUAAACCCUCCACCCUUUAGAAUUUACAAUCAGAGAUGAAGGUGUUACCUCUUGCUUUGCAGAUCUGCAUGGAACUUG
Molecule: long non-coding RNA, 1347 nt
Organism: Callithrix jacchus (white-tufted-ear marmoset)
Lineage: Eukaryota; Metazoa; Chordata; Mammalia; Primates; Cebidae
Source: RefSeq, a predicted model, not a curated record